RNAcentral lists this unclassified non-coding RNA (286 nucleotides) under Hevea brasiliensis (rubber tree). Lineage: Eukaryota; Viridiplantae; Streptophyta; Magnoliopsida; Malpighiales; Euphorbiaceae. The record is from RNAcentral.
UUCUAAUGGUUCUAAUUGCAAAGCAAAUUCAAUCGUUCAUUUGAUCAAUCUUUAAUUGAAGGAUGAUUUCAUAUAGGGAGCUCAAAGCUCAAAUUGUACAAGCAACCGUUGUCACUAGUUGUCUUUUUCUCUUGCUUGGUCCUCUAUUCAGUUUCAGCUGAAGGAUUUGGCAACGUGAUGAGACCUCAAGGCAGAAAUUUUCUGUUCAGUCUUACUGCUUGAGACAAAGUUGAUGGCCCCAAAGUCCAAAGACAUGCUUUCAAGUCAGCUGAACAAUUUUUUGUCU